GGAGGGAGGUGCAGAUUUGCACGGCUGGCCUCAGCGGGAGGCGCGGAAAUGCAAGCCGAGCCUGCUGGAGUGAAAGCCCCCGGGGCCUGGCACCCCCGAAAACGACCUCCCACCUUAAUCCCUGCCCCCAUCGCCCACGGCCCCCAUGGGCGACCCCUCUUCUUCCUCUUCCUUCAUUUACCCCACCUCGUUACCUACGUGGCUGACCCAAAUUCAAAGCAUUUUGUGUAUAUAUAAUUUUUUUUUUUCUUUUCUGCUAUGUCUUUUUUUGGGGGGGUGGCGGGGGUGGGGGGAGAAAUCCUCUCUAGAGCCGUAAGCGGAUCUGCCACACGGAGGAAGCAUUUGGGGGCUCAGGAAGAAAUUAGCGCAGCUCCAUACCUGUACGGACUACAUAACUUUUAAACUACUGGACUCAAAGGAUCCACAUACACACAGGUACAGGAAAUACAGUCAGACCAAAGCCUUUUCAGACCCAAGCUGACCGGAAGACGUUGCCUUUCAUUCAUUCAUUCUGCCCGCGUCUGUGGAGUCCUUUACUAGGCGAGAAGCCCUAGAAGAGAAGUUGGACGUUUUUUAAAGGUCCCUGCGCUCUCCAAGAAGAGGAAAUAGAUGCUCAGGAGUGAACUACCGAGAGAAUCGGAUCUGGCGCCUCCUAACGCAGCUGGCAAACAUGCGAAGGAUAAAAGUCCAAAAGGCUGAGAACACACCCACACACCCUAGCCACUAGAUGGAGCCACACAUAGUCCUUGGAGGCACUGCUGGGAUGGGCAGCCCAGGUUCCAAGUUGGAUUCUCCACUGGCUUCUUUGGUAUACUUUGAUAUUUACUGAGCAGUGUGCCAAGCAACCCUCUAGAUGCUAGAGUUGUGAAAUCGACAGCGACGGUACCUGCCCUCCUGGAGCUGAUACCCUAGGGAACAGUUCUUACCUCAGUACUCUAGCCUCACUUCACCUCUCCCCUCUAUUAUUCUGUAGCUAAAUUGGCCUCCUAAUGUUCCAACAGGCAGAUAUUGUUGCUUCAGAGUCUUUGUAUCUGCUAUUCCCUUCCGCCCCAGGAAAGCAGGUCCCUGCUUCUUUGCAUUGCUGGUUCAGGUCUCAGCUCAAAAGUGACCAAGUCAGAAAAACGUGAACUUAUUUUGUUCGUUGACUGCCUAUUCUCUUCACUAAUUUGUAAGAUUCCGUGAAAGUUACUAUUUUCUUGGAAUCCCUCAGCCUAACGCUUAAUCGGUGCACAGUAAACGUACUGAAGGGGCUUCUUAUCCUGUAUCCCAGCUUGUUUCAGAGGAUAGUGAACUGUAAGUGAACGAACUGGACAAAACAUACCACAAAUCUCAGCCCUGGAAAAAAAAAAAA
Bos taurus (domestic cattle) is the source of this 1351-nucleotide long non-coding RNA. The record is from Ensembl. NCBI's taxonomy places the organism in Eukaryota, Metazoa, Chordata, Mammalia, Artiodactyla, Bovidae.